This is a non-coding RNA of Gossypium arboreum, 144 nucleotides long. The record is from Rfam. NCBI's taxonomy places the organism in Eukaryota, Viridiplantae, Streptophyta, Magnoliopsida, Malvales, Malvaceae.
UGUUAAAAUUUCUGUCUAUUUGUACUAUUAAAAACUAGCGUGGCUGAUAAAAUAAUAAGACAGUGACACAUGAUGUGCCACAUAUACCACAUGUUAACAUAUGAGAUUGGUUUUUAAUAGUAAAAAUGAAUGAAAUUUUUAAUA